This 1134-nucleotide ribosomal RNA is filed under the name Triticum aestivum (bread wheat). RNAcentral describes it as "partial small subunit ribosomal RNA". Lineage: Eukaryota; Viridiplantae; Streptophyta; Magnoliopsida; Poales; Poaceae. The record is from RNAcentral.
AUGGCCAAGCUCGCGCAGUCCUCCUUCGCUCUCGACCUCCUGCGCCGCCUCCUCUGCGCGCACACCGCCGGCAAUGCGGCAGGCGGGGGCAACGCCAACACCGUCCGUGCCGACGUCGCCGCCCUACGGCGCGGCGACGAUGCCGCGGCGCGGAAGGAGGAGGAGGAGGGGGCGACGGCCAGGAGCCCCUGCAUUGUGGCCAGGCUGAUGGGCCUCGACGCGAUGCCGACGCCGGCGCGCGACCAGCAGCAGACGCUGCGCCGGAGCCGCUCCGCGAGCUCGGCCGAGGGCUGGUCGUCGCCCACGCCGUGCUGCUUCGGCGACGCGCCGCGGCGCAGGGUGGCCAGGACCACGUCCGCGUCCUUCCGGGACAGGCCCACGUACCUGAGGCGGGAGAACGACGAGUUCCUGCUCCUCAGCUUCAGCCCGGACGACGACGGCAGCGACGACCGCGACGCGGCGGGGUGGCCCAGAAGCGACGACGACGCGGAGAGCAGGCGCGGCAAGAGGACGGUGGACGGCGACGGGGCCAAGAAACAGAGGCGGGGGCGCCGGAGGCUCCCGCGCCGGCGGCGGCGCGGCGACGAGGAGGCCGAGUCGGAGCAUGCCCGGAGCAGGAGGCCGGCCGCGGCAUGCGGCCUGGAGAACUCGAGCCCGGUGUCGGUGCUGGAGGCGGGAGACGGGCAGGAGGAGUCGUCGACGACCACGACCACUUCGUCAUCUUCAGUGGAAGAAAUGGAGCAUGCAGAGCCGUGCUCGCCGUGCUCAGAUGGAGGCGAAACCCUGCUGGCGCCGAGCCAGCAGCAGCAGAGAACAAGGAGGAAGCUACUGCAAGCCGAUUCCGACAAUUUCGGUGGCAACCCACGCCCAGCAGCGGCGAGCUCCUCCUCCUGUGUCUUGAAAUGUUCAGACAGGGAUAGGAGGGACAGGAGAGUGGUGAACAAGGCAGAGGCUACCGGCCGGGAUGCGACCGGCAUUUGGCGAAUCAUCUGCAGGAUGGUUGAGCAAGAUAUAUGCGGCAUGCAGUGGCAAACCAUGGAUAAUGGCAACAUUGCAGCGGAGAUGGCGUCAGAGAUCCUUGAUCAGCUCAUAUGGGAGCAAACAGCUGAGCUGGUGCAGCUAACUCUGGUCUGA